UCUUUUAAAGUAAAUAAUUACAUUUAAUUUCGAAUUAAAAUUUUGAUUACAUCUAAUCUAAAAGAC
This 66-nucleotide transfer RNA is filed under the name Acropyga panamensis. RNAcentral describes it as "tRNA-Arg". The record is from RNAcentral. Lineage: Eukaryota; Metazoa; Arthropoda; Insecta; Hymenoptera; Formicidae.